RNAcentral lists this ribosomal RNA (381 nucleotides) under uncultured eukaryote. Its description in RNAcentral is "partial 18S ribosomal RNA". It matches the Rfam family "Eukaryotic small subunit ribosomal RNA", at positions 592 to 976 of the family's 1831-position model. The record is from RNAcentral.
CAAUAGCGUAUAUUAAAGCUGUUGCGGUUAAAAAGCUCGUAGUUGGAUUUCUGUCAAGGACAACUGGUCCGCCCUCCGGGUGAGCACAUAGUUUGGUCUUGACAUCUUGCUGGGAGCUGUUGCUGCACUUGGCUGUGUGGCGCAGUGUUCAGCACUUUCACUUUGAGGAAAUUGGAGUGUUUCAAGCAGGCACAUGCCUUUGGACACAGUAGCAUGGAAUAAUUAGAUUGGGCUUUUGCUCCAAUUUGUCGGUUUCUGGAGCUGAGGUGAGUAUUAAUGGGGAUUGUUGGGGGCAUCCGAAUUUAGCCGUCAGAGGUGAAAUUCUUGGAUCUGCUAAAGACGGACAACUGCGAAAGCGUUUGCCCAGGAUGUUUUCAUUGA